AGCGGACGCUGGCGGCAGGCCUAACACAUGCAAGUCGAACGAACCUUUCGGGGUUAGUGGCGGACGGGUGAGUAACACGUGGGAACGUGCCUUUAGGUUCGGAAUAACUCAGGGAAACUUGUGCUAAUACCGAAUGUGCCCUUCGGGGGAAAGAUUUAUCGCCUUUAGAGCGGCCCGCGUCUGAUUAGCUAGUUGGUUGAGGUAAUGGCUCACCAAGGCGACGAUCAGUAGCUGGUCUGAGAGGAUGAUCAGCCACAUUGGGACUGAGACACGGCCCAAACUCCUACGGGAGGCAGCAGUGGGGAAUCUUGUGCAAUGGGCGAAAGCCUGACGCAGCCAUGCCGCGUGAAUGAUGAAGGUCUUAGGAUUGUAAAAUUCUUUCACCGGGGACGAUAAUGACGGUACCCGGAGAAGAAGCCCCGGCUAACUUCGUG
RNAcentral lists this ribosomal RNA (434 nucleotides) under uncultured bacterium. Its description in RNAcentral is "partial 16S ribosomal RNA". It matches the Rfam family "Bacterial small subunit ribosomal RNA", at positions 29 to 507 of the family's 1533-position model. The record is from RNAcentral.